RNAcentral lists this ribosomal RNA (442 nucleotides) under uncultured bacterium. Its description in RNAcentral is "bacterial SSU rRNA". It matches the Rfam family "Bacterial small subunit ribosomal RNA", at positions 958 to 1398 of the family's 1533-position model. The record is from RNAcentral.
AACGCGAAGAACCUUACCUGGAUUUGACAUCCUCGGACAACCCUAGAGAUAGGGCUUUUGUAGCAAUACAACCGAGAGACAGGUGCUGCAUGGCUGUCGUCAGCUCGUGUGGUGACAUGUUGGGUUAAGUCCCGCAACGAGCGCAACCCUUGUCCUUAGUUGCCAGCAUUCAGUUGGGCUCUCUAAGGAGACUGCCGUGGUUAACACGGAGGAAGGUGGGGAUGACGUCAAGUCCUCAUGGCCUUUAUAUCCAGGGCGACACACGUGAUACAAUGGUUGGUACAGAGGGAAGCGAAACCGCGAGGUGGAGCCAAUCUCAAAAAGCCAAUCUCAGUUCGGAUUGGAGUCUGCAACUCGACUCCAUGAAGUUGGAAUCGCUAGUAAUCGCGGAUCAGCACGCCGCGGUGAAUACGUUCCCGGGCCUUGUACACACCGAGACGAC